CAGCACCACCCUGGAGAGAGCUCAGGCGCUGGACAUCCUGGGUCCAGCCCAGCCCGUCACCCUCUGGCUGUGUGGGCCAGACCCAUGGCUCCACUUCCCUGAGCCUCAGUUUCCUCCUCUGAAACGGAGAAAAUAAAGCCGACCUCAUGCCCCGUGGGGUCUAAAUGAGACCCUGCAGACACCCACCCAGUUGUUUCUGCCGCUGUCCCAGCCUAGCAGGACGUUGCCCUCCUCCGUCUGCAGGAGAGCACCAGCAGGUCCCUGGGGCCCCACCGCGGCUUGCUCAGCCCCUCGACAGUCCAGCUUAGGGGUCAGCAGAUCGCCUGCACAGGCCGGAGGAGCCCCGCGAGCUCAGCUCAGCCCCCGGGCCCUGCCUCAGGCACCCCCACAUGGAUGCUCCACGAGCCAGCAGCAAGAUCCCAUGAGGAUCCCACAUGACAUUGCUUCGUGGAAUCUCUUUAAUCUCCUCCCGUCUGUGACGGUUUCUCAGCCUGCCUGCUCUGCCAUAACCGUGACACAUUUGAGGAGCACUGAAUGGUUCUUUUGUCCAGGUCCUCAGUCUGGGUCUGUCUGGUGUCUCCUCGUGAUGAGGGGGAGCACAGAGGGGAUGUGCCUCUCAGCGCACCUGUCGGCGGCCCCCGAUUUCCACGUGUCUAUUACCAGCGAUGUAACCUUGCUCACUUGACUAAGGCGAUAUGAGCCAGGAUUCUCCACCAUCAAGUUGCUCCCUUUCCCUUUGUGACUCGUAACUAUUUUGAUGGAGCCACGGAAAUAUGAACCUAAAGCAGGGGCAACCCUAGGGAAGAAAAUAGAUGAAUUGGACUUCAUCACAAUUGAACACUUUUUUGCAUCAAAGGAGACCCACCAAAUGUGAGAAAAUGUUUGCAAAUCAGAUAUCUGAUAAGGAUCUCGUAUCCAGAAUGUAUAAGGAAUUCUUUCAACUCAAUAAAAAGACAAAUAACCUAAUUAAAAAAUAGGCAAAAGUGGGGCUGGCCCCGUGGCCGAGUGGUUAAGUUCGCGCACUCCGCUGCAGGCGGCCCAGUGUUUCGUUAGUUCGAAUCCUGGGCGCGGACAUGGCACUGCUCAUCAGACCACACUGAGGCAGCGUCCCACAUGCCACAACUAGAAGAACCCACAACGAAGAAUACACAACUAUGUACCGGGGGGCUUUGGGGAGAAA
RNAcentral lists this long non-coding RNA (1180 nucleotides) under Equus caballus (horse). RNAcentral's name for it is "lncRNA (ENSECAG00000047679.1)". The record is from RNAcentral. Lineage: Eukaryota; Metazoa; Chordata; Mammalia; Perissodactyla; Equidae.